UGGGGAAUAUUGGACAAUGGGCGCAAGCCUGAUCCAGCCAUGCCGCGUGAGUGACGAAGGCCUUAGGGUUGUAAAGCUCUUUUGGCGGGGACGAUAAUGACGGUACCCGCAGAAUAAGCCCCGGCUAACUUCGUGCCAGCAGCCGCGGUAAUACGAAGGGGGCUAGCGUUGUUCGGAAUUACUGGGCGUAAAGCGCACGUAGGCGGAUGUGCCAGUCAGGGGUGAAAUCCCGAGGCUCAACCUCGGAACUGCCUCCGAUACAGCACGUCUCGAGUCCGGAAGAGGUGAGUGGAAUUCCUAGUGUAGAGGUGAAAUUCGUAGAUAUUAGGAAGAACACCAGUGGCGAAGGCGGCUCACUGGUCCGGUACUGACGCUGAGGUGCGAAAGCGUGGGGAGCAAACAGGAUUAGAUACCCAGGUAGUCCCUGAGCGGGCUGGCAAGGCGCAU
This 447-nucleotide ribosomal RNA is filed under the name uncultured bacterium. Its description in RNAcentral is "bacterial SSU rRNA". It matches the Rfam family "Bacterial small subunit ribosomal RNA", at positions 355 to 825 of the family's 1533-position model. The record is from RNAcentral.